CACGUAGGGGGCGAGCGUUAUCCGGAUUCAUUGGGCGUAAAGGGUGCGUAGACGGCAAUAAAAGUUUCUUGUUAAAUAUCUUGGCUCAACCAAGUAAAGCAAGAGAUACUGUAUAGCUAGAGUAUAGGAGAGGUAAGUGGAACUCCAUGUGUAGCGGUAAAACGCGUAAAUGUAUGGAAGAACACCAGUGGCGAAGGCGGCUUACUAGCCUGAUACUGACGUUGAGGCACGAAAGCGUGGGGAGCAAACA
RNAcentral lists this ribosomal RNA (250 nucleotides) under uncultured prokaryote. RNAcentral describes it as "partial 16S ribosomal RNA". It matches the Rfam family "Bacterial small subunit ribosomal RNA", at positions 524 to 774 of the family's 1533-position model. The record is from RNAcentral.